Catharus ustulatus (Swainson's thrush) is the source of this 1764-nucleotide long non-coding RNA. The record is from Ensembl. Lineage: Eukaryota; Metazoa; Chordata; Aves; Passeriformes; Turdidae.
ACAAGCUCCCUGGAUUGCCAGGACUAGUGGUGACACGCGCCAGACAAAGGAACUGCUACUCUAUAAAUGAGGCAGCCAGGACCAGCGCUAGGCUGCCUCCAGCAAGAGCAAGCUCUGUGGCCAGGCACUGGAAAAGCAGUCGGGAAAGAAUCACAGGAAGCGCCUGAUUUUGCUGCCUGUUCGCCCCCUGACCGGGUUUCCAGAGGUACGAGUUCCAGAAAAAAAAUCUGAAAGGAGACAGGACCUGACCUUCUGCAGGAAGACUGGAAAAGAAGGAGGGCAACCAGAGUGACGAAGCUGGAAGGCACACAAAGGUAAAAGUGGGGCCUGAGUACAUAAGCAUUGAUUUAAGGCAUUCACUAGUAAGGUGACAAAAAUGGAAUGAAUAGCCAGAUUCUCAGAGACAGACAGGAGAGUGACAGGUGUACUAAGCCAUGAAUAAAUGCUGAGGAUGGCAAAGUGAAAGCAAGAAAACCAGGCAAGAUGUAGGGAGUGACACUGAAAGAAGUAUGCAGUGUUGAUGAAUAUAUGGUGCUGGUGAGAGAUGAAACAGGAAAACAGGAAAAUGUACUAGAAGAUCAAAGUAAGCAACUUGAUUGGGAUAAAAGACUGUUGGAAAACAAGGAAACAAGGCAAAAAACUGUAGACCAGAGCAAGAAUUUGUUUGGAAGGAGAUAGAUAGCAGUGUGGCACAUAGCUACAAAUCACAAAUGUGGCAGGAUGAGAGCGGACAAUGGAAAUGUCCAUUUCCAUAAUGCGAUGAAGAUUACUAUUUUCACCUGACUUCAUUUUGAUGCACAGACUUGAGGUUGAGAGAUCUUCUUAGAAGUUAAAAAACUUAACCUAGUAAUUAAUAAAAAAACAUUAUUUCUAAUUCCCUGAUUUGGGGAAGAAGAGGAAGAGUUUUGAGGCACACUGAUGAAAGAAGUCGUCCUUUUUUCCCCUAAGGUGCCAUUUUUGAACUCCAGGCUGCUGCCUGUAGGACCCCAAAAAACAUUACAAAAUAAAACACAAAAUAAACAUAUCCAACAUUAAGUAGCAACUUCAGCAGCUAUACUUCCAUGGUAAGUACACAGAUUUUUUUUUUUUUUCCAAAAAUUAGGAUAAUUCUACUGAAAAGUACCAGGGAGAAUGUGCAAGUUGGGUAGCUAUUCAGCAGGUGUUUACAGUGGGGUUUUUAAGGUCAGGAUAACAUUCCUUGGGCAAGAGAGUCAGUUCAGGCUUAUGCUUUGAUUUCAUAUUGAGCUUUCCACUCAUAUAACACAGCAGUUCAUCCUUAAAAUUCUUAUAUACACACACCAUGCUGCUCGGGUUUCAUUAUUAGCCUGCUCCCAAUAAAUGAAGGGCCACCCGUUCUUCCAAUUUAAAAUCAGCAAAACACAAAAAAUUGUUUCACACACAUAUAGACAAGUGUACCUAGCUUACACACUAAGACCAUCAGCUCACACUGUCACAGUUCUCUCAGCAUCUGCAUACUUGACUCAAGGAUAAGCCAACUCAUGAACAGGAGUUUCAUGUUUCAGAUGAUAUGAAACAUCCCCUGCUGUCUUUAAAUUCUUGCUGAGAUAUUCAGGACAGCUAAAAAUUUGUGAUCAAAUUUUAAAUUUUCUUAUUUGUUACUCUACUUCUAUUACACAGAGUGUAUUCUGUGGUCUGAUUUUUCUCUGGUGGCUUCCUCUGUUCUCUGCUCUGCUGUUACCCUGAACACACAGGAAUCUCUCCCUGGUCACCAGCAAAAUUAGAGAAACUGCUGCUCUUAUUUCC